This 497-nucleotide ribosomal RNA is filed under the name uncultured bacterium. Its description in RNAcentral is "partial 16S ribosomal RNA". It matches the Rfam family "Bacterial small subunit ribosomal RNA", at positions 28 to 507 of the family's 1533-position model. The record is from RNAcentral.
GAUGAACGCUGGCGGCGUGCCUAAUACAUGCAAGUCGAGCGAACAGACGAGGAGCUUGCUCCUUUGACGUUAGCGGCGGACGGGUGAGUAACACGUAGGUAACCUACCUAUAAGACUGGGAUAACUUCGGGAAACCGGAGCUAAUACCGGAUAAUAUUUCGAACCGCAUGGUUCGAUAGUGAAAGAUGGCUUUGCUAUCACUUAUAGAUGGACCUGCGCCGUAUUAGCUAGUUGGUAAGGUAACGGCUUACCAAGGCAACGAUACGUAGCCGACCUGAGAGGGUGAUCGGCCACACUGGAACUGAGACACGGUCCAGACUCCUACGGGAGGCAGCAGUAGGGAAUCUUCCGCAAUGGGCGAAAGCCUGACGGAGCAACGCCGCGAGAGUGAUGAAGGUCUUCGGAUCGUAAAACUCUGUUAUUAGGGAAGAACAAACGUGUAAGUAACUGUGCACGUCUUGACGGUACCUAAUCAGAAAGCCACGGCUAACUACGUG